CAGCCGCCACGGGAAUACGUAGGGUGCAAGCGUUAAUCGGAAUUACUGGGCGUAAAGCGUGCGCAGGCGGUUAUAUAAGACAGUCGUGAAAUCCCCGGGCUCAACCUGGGAACUGCGAUUGUGACUGUAUGGCUAGAGUGUGUCAGAGGGGGGUAGAAUUCCACGUGUAGCAGUGAAAUGCGUAGAUAUGUGGAGGAAUACCGAUGGCGAAGGCAGCCCCCUGGGAUAACACUGACGCUCAUGCACGAAAGCGUGGGGAGCAAACAGGAUUAGAUACCCGGGUAGUCCCUGUCUCUUAUAC
RNAcentral lists this ribosomal RNA (301 nucleotides) under uncultured bacterium. RNAcentral's name for it is "partial 16S ribosomal RNA". It matches the Rfam family "Bacterial small subunit ribosomal RNA", at positions 509 to 807 of the family's 1533-position model. The record is from RNAcentral.